UGCCGCGUGAGUGAAGAAGGCCUUCGGGUUGUAAAGCUCUUUUGUCAGGGAAGAAAAGGGUGCGGCUAAUAUCUGCGCCUCAUGACGGUACCUGAAGAAUAAGCACCGGCUAACUACGUGCCAGCAGCCGCGGUAAUACGUAGGGUGCAAGCGUUAAUCGGAAUUACUGGGCGUAAAGCGUGCGCAGGCGGUUUUGUAAGACUGUCGUGAAAUCCCCGGGCUCAACCUGGGAAUGGCGAUGGUGACUGCUAGGCUAGAGUUUGGCAGAGGGGGGUAGAAUUCCACGUGUAGCAGUGAAAUGCGUAUAUAUGUGGAGGAACACCGAUGGCGAAGGCAGCCCCCUGGGUCAAAACUGACGCUCAUGCACGAAAGCGUGGGGAGCAAACAGGAUUAGAUACCCUGGUAGUCCACGCCCUAAACGAUGUCUACUAUUUGUCGGGUCUUAAUUGACUUGGUAACGCAGCUAACGCGUGAAGUAGACCGCCUGGGGAGUACGGUCGCAAGAUUAAAACUCAGAGGAAUUGACGGGGACCCGCACAAGCGGUGGAUGAUGUGGAUUAAUUCGAUGCAACGCGUAAAACCUUACCUACCCUUGACAUGGAUGGAAUCUUCGAGAGAUU
RNAcentral lists this ribosomal RNA (620 nucleotides) under Oxalobacteraceae bacterium Se2Ps_2330. Its description in RNAcentral is "bacterial SSU rRNA". It matches the Rfam family "Bacterial small subunit ribosomal RNA", at positions 395 to 1008 of the family's 1533-position model. The record is from RNAcentral. Lineage: Bacteria; Pseudomonadati; Pseudomonadota; Betaproteobacteria; Burkholderiales; Oxalobacteraceae.